ACAGUGGUGGCUUAGUGGUAGAAUUCUCACCUUCCAUGUGGGAGACCCAGGUUUGAUUCCCGGCCAAUGCA
RNAcentral lists this transfer RNA (71 nucleotides) under Loxodonta africana (African savanna elephant). It matches the Rfam family "tRNA". From Rfam's summary of the family: Transfer RNA (tRNA) molecules are approximately 80 nucleotides in length. Their secondary structure includes four short double-helical elements and three loops (D, anti-codon, and T loops). The record is from Rfam by way of RNAcentral. Lineage: Eukaryota; Metazoa; Chordata; Mammalia; Proboscidea; Elephantidae.